Molecule: ribosomal RNA, 253 nt
Filed under: uncultured bacterium
Lineage: Bacteria
Description: partial 16S ribosomal RNA
Rfam family: Bacterial small subunit ribosomal RNA
Source: RNAcentral
UACGAGGGGGGCGAGCGUUGUUCGGAAUUAUUGGGCGUAAAGGGUGCGUAGGCGGUUUGGUAAGUCUUAUGUGAAAUCUAUGGGCUCAACUCAUAGUCUGCAUGAGAAACUGCCGGGCUUGAGUAUGGGAGAGGUGACUGGAAUUCCUGGUGUAGCAGUGAAAUGCGUAGAUAUCAGGAGGAAUACCGAUGGCGAAGGCAGGUCUCUGGGCUGACACUGACGCUCAUGCACGAAAGCGUGGGGAGCAAACAGG